This 429-nucleotide ribosomal RNA is filed under the name Chloroflexota bacterium. Its description in RNAcentral is "Chloroflexi bacterium partial 16S ribosomal RNA". It matches the Rfam family "Bacterial small subunit ribosomal RNA", at positions 355 to 776 of the family's 1533-position model. The record is from RNAcentral. Lineage: Bacteria; Bacillati; Chloroflexota.
UGGGGAAUAUUGCACAAUGGGCGCAAGCCUGAUGCAGCCAUGCCGCGUGUAUGAAGAAGGCCUUCGGGUUGUAAAGUACUUUCAGCGGGGAUGAAGGGAGUAAAGUUAAUACCUUUGCUCAUUGACGUUACCCGCAGAAGAAGCACCGGCUAACUCCGUGCCAGCAGCCGCGGUAAUACGGAGGGUGCAAGCGUUAAUCGGAAUUACUGGGCGUAAAGCGCACGCAGGCGGUUUGUUAAGUCAGAUGUGAAAUCCCCGGGCUCAACCUGGGAACUGCAUCUGAUACUGGCAAGCUUGAGUCUCGUAGAGGGGGGUAGAAUUCCAGGUGUAGCGGUGAAAUGCGUAGAGAUCUGGAGGAAUACCGGUGGCGAAGGCGGCCCCCUGGACGAAGACUGACGCUCAGGUGCGAAAGCGUGGGGAGCAAACAGG